RNAcentral lists this ribosomal RNA (255 nucleotides) under Triticum aestivum (bread wheat). RNAcentral's name for it is "partial small subunit ribosomal RNA". Lineage: Eukaryota; Viridiplantae; Streptophyta; Magnoliopsida; Poales; Poaceae. The record is from RNAcentral.
AUGCCGAGUGGGGACCAGGUCGGUGCAUAUCGGUUCAUGACGUGCCCCUCUUUGUCAACUAGAAACUUGGUGAAGUUCCACUUGAUACGUUCUCCAAAUAGACCGCCCCUCUCUGACUUCAAGAACUUGUACAGUGGGGCAGCAUUGUUGCCGUUCACGUCAACCUUGCGAAAAAUAGGAAACUCUGCUUGGAAGCGAUUGCAAGCAAACUCCACAAUCUUCUCAUCGCUAUCUGGUUCCUGUCCAGCAAAUUGA